RNAcentral lists this ribosomal RNA (470 nucleotides) under uncultured bacterium. Its description in RNAcentral is "partial 16S ribosomal RNA". It matches the Rfam family "Bacterial small subunit ribosomal RNA", at positions 28 to 507 of the family's 1533-position model. The record is from RNAcentral.
GACGAACGCUGGCGGCGUGCUUAACACAUGCAAGUCGAACGCUGAAGCACCAGCUUGCUGGUGUGGAUGAGUGGCGAACGGGUGAGUAAUACGUGAGUAACCUGCCCUUGACUCUGGGAUAAGCCCGGGAAACUGGGUCUAAUACUGGAUGCUACAUGUCACCGCAUGGUGGUGUGUGGAAAGGGUUUACUGGUCUUGGAUGGGCUCACGGCCUAUCAGCUUGUUGGUGAGGUAAUGGCUCACCAAGGCGACGACGGGUAGCCGGCCUGAGAGGGUGACCGGCCACACUGGGACUGAGACACGGCCCAGACUCCUACGGGAGGCAGCAGUGGGGAAUAUUGCACAAUGGGCGAAAGCCUGAUGCAGCGACGCCGCGUGAGGGAUGACGGCCUUCGGGUUGUAUACCUCUUUCAGCAGGGAAGAAGCCACAAGUGACGGUACCUGCAGAAGAAGCGCCGGCUAACUACGUG